CACAUGCAAGUCGAGGGGCAGCAUUUCAGUCUGCUUGCAAACUGGAGAUGGCGACCGGCGCACGGGUGAGUAACACGUAUCCAACCUGCCGAUAACUCGGCGAUAGCCUUUCGAAAGAAAGAUUAAUACCCGAUGGUAUAAUCAGACCGCAUGGUCUUGUUAUUAAAGAAUUUCGGUUAUCGAUGGGGAUGCGUUCCAUUAGGCAGUUGGUGAGGUAACGGCUCACCAAACCUUCGAUGGAUAGGGGUUCUGAGAGGAAGGUCCCCCACAUUGGAACUGAGACACGGUCCAAACUCCUACGGGAGGCAGCAGUGAGGAAUAUUGGUCAAUGGGCGCAGGCCUGAACCAGCCAAGUAGCGUGAAGGAUGACUGCCCUAUGGGUUGUAAACUUCUUUUAUAUGGGAAUAAAGUUUUCCACGUGUGGAAUUUUGUAUGUACCAUAUGAAUAAGGAUCGGCUAACUCCGUGCCAGCAGCCGCGGUAAUACGGAGGAUCCGAGCGUUAUCCGGAUUUAUUGGGUUUAAAGGGAGCGUAGGUGGACAGUUAAGUCAGUUGUGAAAGUUUGCGGCUCAACCGUAAAAUUGCAGUUGAUACUGGCUGUCUUGAGUACAGUAGAGGUGGGCGGAAUUCGUGGUGUAGCGGUGAAAUGCUUAGAUAUCACGAAGAACUCCGAUUGCGAAGGCAGCUCACUGGACUGCAACUGACACUGAUGCUCGAAAGUGUGGGUAUCAAACAGGAUUAGAUACCCUGGUAGUCCACACAGUAAACGAUGAAUACUCGCUGUUUGCGAUAUAC
RNAcentral lists this ribosomal RNA (794 nucleotides) under uncultured bacterium. RNAcentral describes it as "bacterial SSU rRNA". It matches the Rfam family "Bacterial small subunit ribosomal RNA", at positions 52 to 834 of the family's 1533-position model. The record is from RNAcentral.